RNAcentral lists this transfer RNA (85 nucleotides) under Methylibium petroleiphilum PM1. Its description in RNAcentral is "tRNA-Und-NNN-1-1". The record is from RNAcentral. Lineage: Bacteria; Pseudomonadati; Pseudomonadota; Betaproteobacteria; Burkholderiales; Sphaerotilaceae.
CUCCGUCUGGCGAAAUCGGUAGACGCGCGAGGUCGAGAGCCUCGUGCCGCAAGGCGUGCAGGUUCGAGGCCUGCGACGGAGACCA